Molecule: ribosomal RNA, 446 nt
Filed under: uncultured bacterium
Lineage: Bacteria
Description: partial 16S ribosomal RNA
Rfam family: Bacterial small subunit ribosomal RNA
Source: RNAcentral
CCUACGGGAGGCAGCAGUCGAGAAUCAUUCACAAUGGGGGAAACCCUGAUGGUGCGACGCCGCGUGGGGGAAUGAAGAUCUUCGGAUUGUAAACCCCUGUCAUGUGGGAGCAAAUGAAGAAGAUAGUACCACAAGAGGAAGCGACGGCUAACUCGGUGCCAGCAGCCGCGGUAAUACAGAGGGCUCAAGCGUUAUUCGGAUUCACUGGGCGUAAGGGGUGCGUAGGCUGUUUCGUAAGUCGGAUGUGAAAGGCCAGGGCUCAACCCGCGGACGGCACAUGAUACUGCGAGACUAGAGUAAUGGAGGGGUAAGCGGAAUUCUCGGUGUAGCAGUGAAAUGCGUAGAUAUCGAGAGGAACACUCGUGGCGAAGGCGGGUUCCUGGACAUUAACUGACGCUGAGGCACGAAGGCCAGGGGAGCGAAAGGGAUUAGAUACCCUUGUAGUC